This 73-nucleotide transfer RNA is filed under the name Pteridomonas sp. YPF1301. Its description in RNAcentral is "tRNA-Asp". It matches the Rfam family "tRNA". Rfam says of the family: Transfer RNA (tRNA) molecules are approximately 80 nucleotides in length. Their secondary structure includes four short double-helical elements and three loops (D, anti-codon, and T loops). Lineage: Eukaryota; Dictyochophyceae; Pedinellales. The record is from RNAcentral.
GAGAUUAUAGCUUAAUCGGUAAAGUACCAUCCUGUCACGAUGGAUGUUGCGGGUUCAAACCCCGUUAAUCUCU